UACAGAGGCCUCAAGCGUUGUUCGGAUUCAUUGGGCGUAAAGGGAGCGUAGGCGGUCGGGUAAGUCGGAUGUGAAAUCCUGGGGCUCAACCUCAGAACUGCAUUCGAUACUGCUUGGCUAGAGGAUUGGAGAGGAGAGUGGAAUUCACGGUGUAGCAGUGAAAUGCGUAGAGAUCGUGAGGAAGACCAACGGCGAAGGCAGCUCUCUGGACAAUUCCUGACGCUGAGGCUCGAAGGCCAGGGGAGCAAACGGG
Molecule: ribosomal RNA, 253 nt
Filed under: uncultured bacterium
Lineage: Bacteria
Description: partial 16S ribosomal RNA
Rfam family: Bacterial small subunit ribosomal RNA
Source: RNAcentral